This is a non-coding RNA of Phrynosoma platyrhinos (Desert horned lizard), 75 nucleotides long. NCBI's taxonomy places the organism in Eukaryota, Metazoa, Chordata, Lepidosauria, Squamata, Phrynosomatidae. The record is from the annotation of a GenBank genome assembly.
GCCAGUGUGGUGUAGUGGCUUAAGCACUGGGCUACUAAAACUCUGGAGACCAGGGUUCAAAACCCUGCUUGGUCA